This 253-nucleotide ribosomal RNA is filed under the name uncultured bacterium. Its description in RNAcentral is "partial 16S ribosomal RNA". It matches the Rfam family "Bacterial small subunit ribosomal RNA", at positions 524 to 776 of the family's 1533-position model. The record is from RNAcentral.
UACGUAGGGGGCAAGCGUUGUCCGGAUUUAUUGGGCGUAAAGAGCGUGUAGGCGGCCAGACAGGUCCGUUGUGAAAACUCGAGGCUCAACCUCGAGACGUCGACGGAAACCGUCUGGCUAGAGUCCGGAAGAGGAGUGUGGAAUUCCUGGUGUAGCGGUGAAAUGCGCAGAUAUCAGGAAGAACACCUAUGGCGAAGGCAGCACUCUGGGACGGUACUGACGCUGAGACGCGAAGGCGUGGGGAGCGAACAGG